This 1144-nucleotide long non-coding RNA is filed under the name Erythranthe guttata (spotted monkey flower). Its description in RNAcentral is "long non-coding RNA (EGUT_LNC000337)". Lineage: Eukaryota; Viridiplantae; Streptophyta; Magnoliopsida; Lamiales; Phrymaceae. The record is from RNAcentral.
UAUUGCAUCAAUGCAUAUUGUUAGAAUUCAUUAUUCAUGAUGCAUGACCGCGACUACUAGCUUCACAUGUGGCUUAAUUGUGUUUUAAUACGUGAUCGAAUACUUUUCUUAAAAUGUGCUAAUACAUGAUACAUGUUAUUGAACUUCUACUUUAUGAUUUAACAUGAACUUAAGUGAUUUAUUGUAGUGAGAAUCUCAGUUUCUCGGUUAAGAAGGGAUCAAUGUGCUAAACGGUGAUAUAUUUGUCUUAAUUGCAUAUCUGCAUUUUAAUAUGAUUAAUUACAUAUAUAAUUACUUGAAGUAACUCGUAUUAGACUAAAACCAAAAGUAUGCAAAAGGGUGCAAUUUGAUUGGUUGGUUGACUAGGUUGCACAAGACCAUUCUGAAAUUGUUUACACUUGAUUAUAAUGAGUAAGCAUCAGCCCCCUAUCUCAUGUCAAGCUAAAAAAACGUGGAGGAACCACAAGAAUGCAGCAAAAGUGUGUUUUAAUGUGACUUUUGCUACGUGUUCUUCAUGAUGUUUGAAUGAUUGAUGAUUCAUAGCGAUAUGAAAGAAUAUGUUUUCAAAAUGGGAGUAUGGUACUUGAUUGAUGGUCGAGUAGGCAAGGGACGCGGGAGGAACCGGCGGACCCAAUACAUGGUGGCAAAUACCUGAGGUCGAAAGACCAGUAUGGAAAACCCACGAUUAAAGAAAUGAAAUACGGCUAAUACCUGAGGUCGAAAGGCCGGUAUGGAAACCCCCGUAUUAUCUAUUGGCCAAAUAUGAUGAACAGGUUCCGAAAAUCAAAGUCUAUUGCUAUCAGUCAAGUACCACACUUCAAGGGUACCCGAUAAAGAGAAGGAUUUCAAAGAAAAGGAUCAUGAAUGAAGUUAUAUGUGAUAUUGUGCAUAUUGAAUGAAUAACGUGUUAUGUGAUAUAUUGCUAUUACAUCUGUUUCAACUUGCUGAGCUAUUAGCUCAUUAGGUUCUUAUGAUGCAGGUAAUGAUGUACAUGUUUAGAAGUUGACCUAGCCAAGAGCGGCAAGUCAGAUAUUUGUUCAUAUGCCAUGCUUCGAGCCAUUUUGUGGCCGAGCUAGAAACUCUGAUUUCAUUUUGUUAGCCGCUCUAUUAUGGUUUUUGUACAAUGUAAUUUUGUAACCCAUGA